Molecule: ribosomal RNA, 252 nt
Filed under: uncultured bacterium
Lineage: Bacteria
Description: partial 16S ribosomal RNA
Rfam family: Bacterial small subunit ribosomal RNA
Source: RNAcentral
UACGUAGGUCCCGAGCGUUGUCCGGAUUUAUUGGGCGUAAAGCGAGCACAGGUGGUUUAUUAAGUCUGGUGUAAAAGGCAGUGGCUCAACCAUUGUAUGCAUUGGAAACUGGUAGACUUGAGUGCAGGAGAGGAGAGUGGAAUUCCAUGUGUAGCGGUGAAAUGCGUAGAUAUAUGGAGGAACACCGGUGGCGAAAGCGGCCCUCUGGCCUGUAACUGACACUGAGGCUCGAAAGCGUGGGGAGCAAACAGG